RNAcentral lists this long non-coding RNA (237 nucleotides) under Ananas comosus (pineapple). Its description in RNAcentral is "long non-coding RNA (ACOM_LNC023691)". The record is from RNAcentral. Lineage: Eukaryota; Viridiplantae; Streptophyta; Magnoliopsida; Poales; Bromeliaceae.
UUAAAAUAAUAUAAUAUUAGAGUAGAACUUAAGAGUCAUUGUCGCUAAUUAUUAAUUCAAAAAUUUUAUGUUAUUAAAAAUAUACAAUUAAUUCACCUAAAGCGUACAAUAUAAUUAUUACGAAGUUUAAUUAUGACUCGACCCAACCAAUUUCAUGCCAUUUCGAACACGAUUUGACCCAACUCAAAUUUUUGCUAUUUUGAAUAUAACUCGAUCUAAUCUGUCAUCUCGUUAUAG